RNAcentral lists this signal recognition particle RNA (212 nucleotides) under Chlorocebus sabaeus (green monkey). RNAcentral describes it as "Metazoan signal recognition particle RNA". It matches the Rfam family "Metazoan signal recognition particle RNA". From Rfam's summary of the family: The signal recognition particle (SRP) is a universally conserved ribonucleoprotein. Lineage: Eukaryota; Metazoa; Chordata; Mammalia; Primates; Cercopithecidae. The record is from Rfam by way of RNAcentral.
GCCGGGCGCGGUGGCUCAAGCCUGUAAUCCCAGCACUUUGGGAGGCCGAGACUGGCGGAUCAUGAGGUCAGGAGAUCGAGACCAUCCUGGCUAACACGGCGAAACCCCGUCUCUACUAAAAAANNNNNNNNNNUUUUUUAGUAGAGACGGGGUUUCGCCGUGUUAGCCAGGAUGGUCUCGAUCUCCUGACCUCGUGAUCCACCCGUCUCGGC